AUGAUCCGCCAGUAUCCACGCCACCGCCACCUGGCAGAGCAUCAUGGCUACGCCGCCGGCGAGGAACAAGAACCUGCGGCCAGCACGGUCGACGACGAAGGUGGACACGACGACGGCGAACAAGUUGACCAGGCUAAGUAUGACGGAGCCCAGGAUCGCCUUCUGGCUGUCGAACCCCACGGUCCGGAACAGCACUGGCGAGAAGACGGUGAUGACGAUCAUGCCGGUGAGGUCGAAGAAAGUGGGGAUGGCCACCAUCAUCACCAGGUAGUGCCGGUACCCCUUGCCGCGCAGCCGCUCGAACGCGCCCUCGUCGUUCCGGCGAGCCUCCUCCACGGCGAGGACGAUGUCCUUGAACUCGUCGCCCACGUCGGCGUCCGCCCCGCGGAUGCGCUGGAGCGCCGCGCGCGCCCUGUCGGGAUCUCCGCGCAGCACGAGGCUGCUGGGAGUGUCGGGGACGAAGAGGGCGCCCAGCACAACGACGAUGGCCGGCACGCCGGCCAGGCCGAGGGAGACCCGCCAGCCCCAUCCCGGAAUGCGGUUGGUGAAGUAGUUGGCGACGGUCGCCGCCAGCGUGCCGAUGACAAGGAAGACGUGGUAGGCGGUGGUGAAGGCGCCGCGCCACUUGGCUGGCGAUGUCUCGGCGAGGUACAGCGGAGCCGCCUGCGGUCAACGGACCCAUCCGAGCAGCAUCCGGCCGACGAUGAGCAUGGCGAUGUUCACGGCGGCGGCGUUGACGGCGGAGCCGGCAAGGAACAGGGCGCCGCCGGUGAGCAUGACGGCCUGGCGGCCCACCCUCCUGGUCACCCGGCUCGCCACCAGCGACGACAGCACGCCGGCGAUGUACAGCGAGGAGGUGAACGCCGUUAG
This 870-nucleotide ribosomal RNA is filed under the name Triticum aestivum (bread wheat). RNAcentral's name for it is "partial small subunit ribosomal RNA". Lineage: Eukaryota; Viridiplantae; Streptophyta; Magnoliopsida; Poales; Poaceae. The record is from RNAcentral.